CACGCGCUCGAAGACGGCCACCACCUUCCAGUCCGAUGAGAGUAGGAAGUCAUUUCUCAAGACUCUCGCUGAGUGACCAGUUGGAGGAACUUCUGUGCCCGUUUUUCUUCUUUCCCUCACGAGGACGUUUUCUCCAUCAGUGUCUUCCCUCAUUCAAACUAGUUGAAGUUACCCUAAUUCAAAGUCUAUAUUUGAAGUCUAUAUUUGAAGCUGGUGUCACCUAAGGGUCUUGCUUGGAAACCCCAAAUAUAGGACUUAGCAGAAAGCGAUUAGCUUUGGCUAUUCUAGUAUUUCUCAUACUGAAAGAAUAAGGAGACAUCGCGAUCAGGGACAAGAUGGUGGUGUUCGGAUGUCGAUUAAACUUCCCACUUGCCCUGGUCGGGCUUCUUGUUGCUAUGGUGUGUACGGUGCAUAAUGACUGUCACGUGACAGCAGCGAGUAAAGCUGCGCAUCUCAAGAGCAAAACUGUGCAUCUGAAUAAGGCUAGAUCUGUGCAUGUGAAGAAGGUUGGAUCUGUGCAGGUGAAGAAGGCAAAUUCAGCAACUACAAGAAGCAGUGAGGUGCGAGAUGCCAGUACCCAUGAAGCAUUCAACUUGGACACGAACAAGGUCAACAAUGGACAUGUCCUCAAAAUCAAGGGCAACACAAAUAUGGUACGAAUGCUGAGACGCCUGGUCGCGAGGCAAUCGGUGUCGGAUAGUAUGGACUCUGCGAGCGGCUCAAUGUCCAUGUCGACGUCCAUGUCUGAUUCCGAUUCCGCUGCUGCGGCCGCCGCUGCCGCUGCAGGUCCCGCGGCUGCACGAGUAGGAGAUGCAGAGCUAGUCCUUACAGGUGAAAUGCUAUCCAGGCUGGAACAGCAAGCGCUGGCAUACAAUUCCGCAGCCACAGCCUCGCAUUUCAGCCUUUCCGCACUGAUCGGAAAGGGUGCUUGGUCUAUGAUCGCACUGUGGAUUGCAGCCGUAUGGCUUCUACUAUAGGUUGUGCUCAUAGCACAGACAUUGCUCGUGUGGCUAAUGUUACCUGCUCUUGGGAUAGACACUGUCUCUGUGGCUCACAUAACAGCCCUGUUCAAGGAUUCUGCUUUUGUACAGACAUUGCCUAUAAUGGUGUACAUUGUACAUGGUUGGCAUGAUAGCCUGAUGAUCUGUUGUUAGUGCGUGCCGUCAAUGGUUGUAUACGACACCAUCUGCUCCGUAGAACAUGAAUCUUCUUCAGAACCAUCGGCAAUUAUGUACAGUAUGUCUGUGCAUACUGUGCGUACGGUACUGCGUCACGUGACAACUCCGUGGAUUAAAGAUCUCAAUUCCUGGGAGUACGAGUCUGAAUUAUAGUAUGCACAGAUUGAUAUUGAAUACGGAUUGAGCUUGUAAAGUAGAAUUAAUCUACUGCUAUUCACGUUAGUAACCAAGCUGUUGCGUGGUUGGCAUCAUUCGUGGUCAGUAUAAAAUAUUGAGGAGUGCUCCAAGAAUGUUCCCGCUGCCAAUUUAACGUCUGUCUCAGGAUCUUCCUCCCUCUACCCUACGUGAACCCUACGUGAACCCUACGUGAACCCUACGUGAACCCUACGUGAACCAUACGUGAACCCUACGUGAACCCUACGUGAACCCUACGUGAACCCUACGUGAACCCUACGUGAACCCUACGUGAACCCUACGUGAACCCUACGUGAACCCUACGUGAACCCUACGUGAACCCUACGUGAACCCUACGUGAACCCUACGUGAAUACAACAUCAGCAGUUUUCAUGUACCUCCUUUCGCUUCUUCAUUUUGCUUUUAAAGUAAAGAAAAUGAUCCAAUGAUUUUUUGAGGUUUUCUAGAAACAGUUUUUUUAAGAUGUUUUAAAGUUUAAGACGUUUGAACGCUUACAGGUUUACUCACUCUCCCUCAACUUCUACCACUCCUUACUGCUCGUGACUUCUACCACUCCUUACUGCUCGUGGCAUGAUGUCAGAACAACUACACGUCAUGAAUAGGUUGAGCACAUGAUUGUAGGUGCUUUAUUUUCAUUCUGUCUUGCUCAAUUUGAAUUCUAAUUUCUUCUGCCAAAUAGCGAGACACGAUGCACAUCCA
Sycon ciliatum is the source of this 2072-nucleotide long non-coding RNA. RefSeq lists it as uncharacterized. The record is from RefSeq and is a predicted model, not a curated record. The transcript is spliced from 2 exons. NCBI's taxonomy places the organism in Eukaryota, Metazoa, Porifera, Calcarea, Leucosolenida, Sycettidae.